AGAGGAAUCUUUACAUAAAGACCCAGUUGAGUCCCAGGAAAACUCCUGGACCUAAGAAACACUUAUUGUUUAAGGACACAAAAUCAGUGUAAUAAAAGUAGCCUUCAUUUGUGGAACAGUGCACUCUCAGAUGAGGACAUUAGGAGAAACAUGUCAUUCAAAAUAAUGUUCAAAGAAUUAAGAGUUCAGGGGUCGCCAGGAGGCGGGGCCAGCGCGGCUGCUGGGUGCAGGAGGCGCCUUUGGAGCCGGCUUGGCUUGGGAGCAGUAGCUGAAGAGUUGGAUCCAGGGCCGUCCUUGCUGCCGCGUCUGCUUUUGGUCUCUGGCCCUUCCGCGGGAUGGCGCGCGGGGCGACACUGAAGCGGCCCAUGGAGUUCGAGGCGGCGCUGCUGAGCCCCGGUUCCCGGAAGCGGCGACGCUGCGCCCCUCUGCCGGGGCCCCACUCCGGGCCUCAGGUCCCCGGACGCCGAGCCGCCACAGCUUCAGAUCCAGACGCCGCCGGCGAGCCUCCAGCAGCCUGCCCCGCCUGGCAGCGAGCGUCGCCUUCCAACUCCCGAGCAAAUUUUUCAGAACAUAAAACAAGAAUAUAAUCAUUACCAGAGAUGGAGACAUUUAGAAGUACUUCAGAAAGUCAGCCUUCCUCCUCGGCACUUACCGCACCAAGUUCUCCAGGUGCUUUCUGGAUGAAGAAGGACCAGCCCACUUUACCCUUCGACAAGUGGGGAUAAUAUGUGAGCGGCUCUUAAAAGACUAUGAAGAUAAAGUCCGAGAGGAGUAUGAGCAGAUCCUCAGUACCAAACUCGCAGAACAGUAUGAAUCGUUUGUGAAAUUCACGCAUGAUCAGAUCAUGCGGCAAUACGGGACAAGGCCAACAAGCUAUGUAUCCCGAAGCCUUCUUGCCUAUCUAGGUACCAGGUGUGACCUCAAGAGAUGGCUGCUGUACACUUUUUGCAACUGGUUUGACAUCACAUUUCAGCUCCAACUUUGCACCCUGAGAACACUUAAAUGUUUCUGCAGGUCCGUUUUAUACAACUUGAAAGACCUUAAAACUUUCUGGUUGCCACAAGCAUAUCUUUCUUUUCUGCUCAUCUACUAAACAGCUGUGCCCUACUGCGAUAGGUUUUCCAGACAAAGUAUCUGGAACAGCAGUCUAGCAAAGAAUGCCUUCAGUGGCACUCAACACGUGGAGUCUCCCCAAGCACAGCUCUGUGAGAAGUGUGAGUGUGUGCGUGUGUGUGUGUGUGUGUGUUUUAAGUUAUUAUUUGUAUUGUGCAAAAAAAAUGAUCUUGGGGAUUCUGGCUGUGAAUUUGAUGCACGACAAUUAUGGUUAAAAACAUUUUCUUGGUCUACAGAAGAUCAUUAAUGUUUGGUGACCAUAUAGGUUGUAACAGUGGGUUGCUUAUUUGUAGGUAUUAUCGUUAAAUACAGGGACAGUUUCCAGGCACAGAAUUUGAAUUGUAAGUUAGGAUGGGCAUUAGAUGUGAUUAUGAUGAUCUAGGGAAGGUCUGCAGUCCUGAAUCUGCAAAUACGUGGUGAGAAAUUAGAACAAACUGGAGACAGGCUAUCAGUACAUGGACUCUGCCUAGCUGUGCUGGAAAAAUACUUUGACUCCAAGCCUUAAAAUAUCCUGUGGAGUCUGAGCUCACCUCAUUCAUACAGUCACGGAGCUCCCUGAACGCUGAACUUCUACAGGGAAAAGAUCUCCCCUGGAGCGGAAGAUCAGGGUGUCCCCAGAGCACGUAAGGAGUGCAGUGCAGGGCUGGGCCAGGCUCACAGCACUGCUACCUGGGAGGAGCCGCUCACCUUCGCAUCAGUUUCAACAUAGAAUCUGGACCCUUUGUCCAGGUCACCCCAAACUCUCCUGAGGUGUCCGUGUUCAACCCUUAGAGCUUGGUUUUGGCAAUACCCCGCCUGAAGUUGCUUAUUGGCUGUUCUUUGCCUUGGUCCCAAGGCUGUGAGCAGAAAGCAGCCUCUGGUUUGAGGAGGUGGGAUUUAAGUAUACAUUUAUUUUUACUGUGACUUGUUCAGGACCACACUUUACAAAAUGCCUUGUUUCCUUUACGGUUGUUUUGGAAAGGAAAGUUUUAUGAAAACUGUUUUAGUUUGAAUAUAGAAUAGUUAUAUUAAUUACGGCUUUAUUUUGGAAAAAUCUUGAGUUUUAAUUCAAAUGUUUGCCAAUACUUCCAAAGUAAGGUGAUAUUCAGAGAUAGUGGUGAUCAGCUGGCUUGCGGACAUUUCUGGGGUAUUCACAUUUGAAGAUUCCUUAUUAAUGAAUGUCUUUGACUUAAAUCUAACCAAAAACUACAACAUUAUUCUUUGUACAUUUUCAUUAUAUAGUGUUAACAAGCUUAGUUUUGAACGAAUAAAAUAUUUAAGCUAUUUGUUUACCUUGCCAAAAAAAAAAAAAAAGAGUUCAGGGAUCUAUCAAAUCAAGGAAAUGAUAGAAGUCUAUGUGGCAACCUUCAAGGUACUGUAGUAAGAAAUCACCUAAGAGGAUGUCAGAUGCUGGACCUAAAACCCUUGCCAGGACUGGCAGAGGUAAUAUUGUGAAAAUGGCCAUUCUACCAAAGUAACCUACAGACUUAAUGCAC
RNA transcript from Mus musculus (house mouse), 2588 nucleotides. It is a transcript of the gene named predicted gene 6623, with no coding region annotated. Lineage: Eukaryota; Metazoa; Chordata; Mammalia; Rodentia; Muridae. The transcript has a single exon. The record is from RefSeq and is marked validated.